RNAcentral lists this long non-coding RNA (1051 nucleotides) under Triticum aestivum (bread wheat). Its description in RNAcentral is "long non-coding RNA (TAES_LNC020199)". Lineage: Eukaryota; Viridiplantae; Streptophyta; Magnoliopsida; Poales; Poaceae. The record is from RNAcentral.
CGUAGCCGCGAGCCUGCAGCCGCUCGUGCACCCACGCCCGCACCCACGCGAGCGAAGAGGAUAGCGUUUCACUCCCGGUCGAUUCACACCCGCAGUCGCGCCGCUCUCCUCACCCCUCUCAUCUCUCCUGCGAACAGAUCUCGCCGCCCCGUCGCCUCGCGAGUACGUCGCCGGCGCGCAUCCUCACCGCGCAGAGGUUGAACCCUCCUCCUCCCAUCCCUCUUCCAUCUCUCCCCAUCCCCCUCGGACCCCUCUCACCUCUCUCUGCCCUUGCGCUGCUGCUCCUCCGAUGCGGAUGUGAGCCGGCAGUCGAAGCCGAGCUCCCGGCCAUGGCCGCCGUGGCCAUUGGAGCUGCUCCCCUCGCUCCUGUGUAGAGCUGCGAGCACCACUGCCCCACACGCACACUCAUGCCCACAGCCGCCAUGCACAUGCACAUGCUCUGUCCUGAACCUCCUUCCCUCCUAUGGAUAUGUGUGAUUGGCAUGCAUCUAUGUGAGUUAUUGGGCUAGUAAUUUUUGUGAUUGUCAUGGAUCUGUGCGAUCUGUUCCCAAGAGUUUGCUAAUUUCUGCAUAUAUUUUAUUAUGUUUUGACAAUGCAAAUGAUGUCAAUAUUAUCAGUGCUCAUGGCUUUAUUAAUUUAUAAAUCUGUGCUGAAUUUAUAUAGAUAGACGACAAUGGCAAGACCCGAGAUACACUGAAGCUUGUGGCUCUAAAAUUGUUGUUGACGGGGGGUCUAGGUUUAUAAAUCAGUGAUGCAUUAAUAUAGAUGAAUGACAUCGGCAAGACCCGAGAUACGCUGAAGCUUCAAGGUUUACAAUGGAUUUUUGGCUAUCUAAUAUGUGAACUCUAGUAUGUGUUGGACUGUAAGAUGGACCAUAUGGAUUUGUGGCUCCAUAAUAUGUGAACUCUUAAGAUGUACUUGGACUGGAUACUUGAUUUAUCUGCACUCUCUAUUAUCCUGAUGCAUUUCUCUAGCUAAUUUGUACCAUAAACUGCUUAUGUGUAUAAAAAUUGUUGAUAUACUUAUAAAAACAACCAAGAUGCUGCUGAAA